UGAGGAAUAUUGGUCAAUGGACGGAAGUCUGAACCAGCCAAGUAGCGUGCAGGAUGACGGCCCUAUGGGUUGUAAACUGCUUUUGUAUGGGGAUAAAGUUAGGGACGUGUCCCUAUUUGCAGGUACCAUACGAAUAAGGACCGGCUAAUUCCGUGCCAGCAGCCGCGGUAAUACGGAAGGUCCAGGCGUUAUCCGGAUUUAUUGGGUUUAAAGGGAGCGUAGGCUGGAGAUUAAGUGUGUUGUGAAAUGUAGACGCUCAACGUCUGAAUUGCAGCGCAUACUGGUUUCCUUGAGUACGCACAACGUUGGCGGAAUUCGUCGUGUAGCGGUGAAAUGCUUAGAUAUGACGAAGAACUCCGAUUGCGAAGGCAGCUGACGGGAGCGCAACUGACGCUUAAGCUCGAAGGUGCGGGUAUCAAACAGGAUUAGAUACCCUGGUAGUCCGCACGGUAAACGAUGGAUGCCCGCUGUUGGUACCUGGUAUCAGCGGCUAAGCGAAAGCAUUAAGCAUCCCACCUGGGGAGUACGCCGGCAACGGUG
Molecule: ribosomal RNA, 540 nt
Filed under: uncultured bacterium
Lineage: Bacteria
Description: bacterial SSU rRNA
Rfam family: Bacterial small subunit ribosomal RNA
Source: RNAcentral